GCUUGCUUCGGCAAAACAUAUACUAAAAAAUUGGAACGAUACAGAGAUUAGCAUGGCCCCUGCGCAAGGAUGACAUGCAAAUUCGUGAAGCAUUCCAUAUUGGG
Small nuclear RNA from Malaclemys terrapin pileata, 104 nucleotides. Lineage: Eukaryota; Metazoa; Chordata; Testudines; Emydidae. The record is from RefSeq and is a predicted model, not a curated record.